AUGCGUUAGACCGCCUUCCAACCAUAACAUGAAAUUCACACAACAUAACCAAAUUGGCAAAGUCAAUAGUACAAAUAUUCAAGGACUUCUUCAGCGGUCGAGAUACCCGAUUAUUCUCUGUGAAAUCACUGUCCUUGCCUGUGUUAUGUCACGGCUACACUUAUUAGCAUGUUCACCUAAAUCCUCAAUAGCUUGCAUGAACACAUCCAGCUUCUUCUUGAUCUCAUCUAUCACAAGCUUCAAAGCAUCUUCUUCCAUAAGGGCAAUGCUCGCAUUUUGCAAGAGUGAUUCAAUUUCCAGUUCCAAUUUGUUGACAAGUAGCCGUAUAUUAUCCAUAUCCUUGAUUACAAUGAAAGUUCUAACAUGCAUUGAGCUUACCAACUCCUUCUGGCCCUUCACUUCUUUCAUAUAACUAUUCCAAAGUGAGUUACACCAUUUUCCCACUGAGCCAAUAGGAACAGCCAGUGCACCUGCCAAAGCUGUUACAAGAGGUGGUGCAGCAAUGGCGGCUGCCACCACUGAGAAAAUCAACACAGAGACAAAAGCAGCAACAAACAACACAUUUGAUACCCGCCUCCAUGUUUUCAUGUUCUUCAAUUUUUUAUCAAGCUUCUUCUUUUGAAGUGUCAAUUUCUCUAACAAGGAUUGCUGCUGCCUAUACACCGACUGAAAGAGUACAAAGAACUCCUCAGUAAAAGGAUCACCAACUGCCUUGAACUUACCUAAUUCCUCUAAUGUCUUCACAUACUUCUUGUCCGCAACCCCAUCUUGAAAUGCCACCUCUUCCUCGAACUGCCUAAGAGCAACUUGUAUGAUCAAUUGGCUAUUCCGAGCUCGCUUAAGACAAUUUUCAAGGGCAGUACAAAAAUCCAAAGUUUUGGCACUAUUGUUAAAGUACUCCUCAACCAAAGCAAACAAAUCUUUAUUUUUCCAUAUAUCUUCCUUGCUUUGCAGUAUAACUUCGACCACAUCUUGAUUUAUGUCAAGAAGGCUAUUGGUGACCUCUUUGAGAGAGUCAAAAGAUAGUGAUCUAAAGCCAGCACCAGUGGCAAGGGUGUUUAUGAUACGGUUAGUCCUUUCAUGGAGGGUAGCAUCAAAGGAUUGCAGGUCUGGAUCAAGCUUACAAGCAUCCUCAUAUGAUCUCAAGUCUGCCGUGUACUGGGAAUUGCUAUUCAUUUGGAGUGGUGGUGGAGGUUCAACGCCUUUUUU
RNAcentral lists this unclassified non-coding RNA (1209 nucleotides) under Hevea brasiliensis (rubber tree). Lineage: Eukaryota; Viridiplantae; Streptophyta; Magnoliopsida; Malpighiales; Euphorbiaceae. The record is from RNAcentral.